GUCUACGGCCACACCACCCUGAAUGCACCCGAUCUCAUUUGCUCUUGCAAGCUAAGCAGGGUUGGGUCUGGUGAGUACUUGGAUGGGAGACUUUAUUUACAAAAUAAAUAUUAAAGAUC
This 119-nucleotide ribosomal RNA is filed under the name Octodon degus (degu). Lineage: Eukaryota; Metazoa; Chordata; Mammalia; Rodentia; Octodontidae. The record is from RNAcentral.